GCUUUUUCUGAGGUGGCUGAAUCUAGAGUGUAUGAUGUUGGGAUUAAGGGUGUGAGAUUACUAGAUCAGUACACUGAUUGGUUUGGCAUCACCCUAAUUCUGAUAGUCUGGAUAAGAUGUUAUUUUCCCUUGUUGCUUUGCUACCUUCAGUCUGCCAUGAACUCUUGCCCCUCUGCCAUGUGCCACCCUGCCUUGAAGGCCGCCCAUUACCGACUGAAACCUCUACAAACUGUGAGCUAACCCUUUUAACUUUGGGUGGUGGGUAUUUUACUCAGCAACAAAAGCAAAGUAAAUAAGACAGCAAGUUACUGAUGAGUGAGGAAUCCAGCUGAGACCUUCUAAGACUACUCUCAAGAUUGGAUUCUCCAGUAACACAUUUGCCUGCAUCAAAAUGAUGAAAAAUAGACCCAGAGAAUAUUGGUGUGGCAGAGCUUUCCAAAGCAGCUUUUCUGGCAGAAAUCCAGGUGAGGCAGGGCCCCGCAUGGAACAUGGAAUGAAGAACAUGCCUUGUUUGCUCCCUCUCACAGAUGAGGCAGGGCCCAGCAGGAGGAGAACAGGUGACAAGAGGGUGGUGGAGCAAGGCCUGGUCAAGAAGAGGACUGUCUUCCUUCCCUCCCAUUCUCCAGAAAACUAUCAAGCAUGGGGUCCUGUGGGCCUUAGCUACUCUCUUGGCUCCAGUUACAGACAAGGUCCUUUUACCUCACCCUACACUUCCCUUAUCUCUACCAAUAUAAAUAAACAUGCUGCAUUUGCCUGGGGUCUUCUUCUCCCAUCAGGAGUUAGAGCCCCAGCUGGCCCCCCACCUUUGUUUCUCUUUGUUCUUUUGUAACUUUCUUUCUUUACCUUUUCUCAAUCUCCCACCGUCAUUUCACUAGUGGACCCUUCAGCCACACAGGCCAUGGCAGGUGGACAGUCCUGUGAGUCUUGAUACACAUCUAGUUUUAUGUAGUCCACAUCACAGAACCCAGAGCAGUUCCGACACCCUGAAAUUCUCCCACAUACUUUGUAGUCAGGCCUUCAUCACACCCAGCCCCUGGCAAAUACUGAUCUCUUCUCUGCUUCUGUGAAUUUGCUUUCUCCAUGGUGUUAUGUAAACUUCAUGAUGCAUAGUGUGACCUCAUAAGACUGACACUUUCUCUGGGCAAAAUGUCUUUGAGAUUUAUCCAUGUUGCUGCUUUUUGCUGGUUUGUUUGCAUCCACCUGACAAAGGAUAUUUGGAUUCUAGUUUUGUUGACUGUAAUAAAGCUGCUAUAAACUUUAAUGUGAAAAAGCUGCUCUAAAUGUAAGAGUCAUAUUAAAACAAAGGUAAUGUAUACUCCUUGAAACUUAUUGUUUCCUAGGGGCCAGGGAUUUAGCUCAGUGGUUCUGGUGCCUGCCUUGUAAGCACAAGGACUGGAGUUCAAUCUCCGGUACCAAAAAAAAAAAAAAAAAGAAACUUAUAGUUGAC
Molecule: long non-coding RNA, 1447 nt
Filed under: Heterocephalus glaber (naked mole-rat)
Lineage: Eukaryota; Metazoa; Chordata; Mammalia; Rodentia; Bathyergidae
Description: lncRNA (ENSHGLG00000026695.2)
Source: RNAcentral